GUGGGGAAUAUUGGACAAUGGGGGGAACCCUGAUCCAGCCAUGCCGCGUGUGUGAAGAAGGCCUUUUGGUUGUAAAGCACUUUAAGCGAGGAGGAGGCUACCGAGAUUAAUACUCUUGGAUAGUGGACGUUACUCGCAGAAUAAGCACCGGCUAACUCUGUGCCAGCAGCCGCGGUAAUACAGAGGGUGCAAGCGUUAAUCGGAUUUACUGGGCGUAAAGCGCGCGUAGGUGGCCAAUUAAGUCAAAUGUGAAAUCCCCGAGCUUAACUUGGGCAUUGCAGUCGAUACUGGUUGGCUAGAGUAUGGGAGAGGAUGGUAGAAUUCCAGGUGUAGCGGUGAAAUGCGUAGAGAUCUGGAGGAAUACCGAUGGCGAAGGCAGCCAUCUGGCCUAAUACUGACACUGAGGUGCGAAAGCAUGGGGAGCAAACAGGAUUAGAUACCCCGGUAGUCC
Molecule: ribosomal RNA, 451 nt
Filed under: uncultured bacterium
Lineage: Bacteria
Description: partial 16S ribosomal RNA
Rfam family: Bacterial small subunit ribosomal RNA
Source: RNAcentral